ACCUCUGCUUGACUUGAGACUCCCCCAUCAAAACUCUACCAUCCUCGCCCUUGAUGCACCUAGCUUGGUCAAGAUCAUGCGCCUUUCUUUCCCUUGCUUUAGCUAACCGGAAUAACUUCCUAUCCCCGCAUUUCUCCCCUAAUUCCUCGUACAUGCGAUAAAACACCGCAUUUUUAGCUUCCGUAACCGCCAUCUUUGCUUCUUUCCUCACCACCUUGUAGAUCUCCAUGUUCGCCCUCUAUUCUUCCUCGCUUAUGUUCCCUGCCAACUUAGCAAACGCCGCCUUCUUCACUUCACUUUUCCUUCGACUAUAUCAUUCCACCACCAGUCGCCCUGAUGCCUGCCUG
This 347-nucleotide long non-coding RNA is filed under the name Nicotiana benthamiana. Its description in RNAcentral is "long non-coding RNA (NBEN_LNC002194)". The record is from RNAcentral. Lineage: Eukaryota; Viridiplantae; Streptophyta; Magnoliopsida; Solanales; Solanaceae.